RNAcentral lists this ribosomal RNA (2949 nucleotides) under Triticum aestivum (bread wheat). Its description in RNAcentral is "partial small subunit ribosomal RNA". Lineage: Eukaryota; Viridiplantae; Streptophyta; Magnoliopsida; Poales; Poaceae. The record is from RNAcentral.
AUGGUGUCUGCCGGAGUUUUGGUCGAGGGCCAAGAGAUCCGUCUCGGCGCUCUCACCUUCAUCGCCGACGACUCCGCAUGGCUCCAAGAGGCUCCACUCGACGUGGAUGCGCUCCCCGUCCGCGGUGCGACGCAUUUUCGCGCAUGUGUCCGCGGCGUUCUGCUGCGGCAGCCAUCGACCCAGUACCGGUCGGCUCCUCCGCCUUCCACCCUCCCGGUCUCCCGCCAGCGCAAGCGCUCGGGCCGGUCGAGGCUUCAGCGAUGGGUGAGUCACGCGAUGGCUCGCCAGUCGACCACUACACAAGUUGCGGCAAUCGAGCCCAACGAAUCUCUCUACCGCUUGUUCGAUCAGUCGACUGGCUCCGGAGAGACUGCAUCCGAGUGCGGAAGCAGUGAUCCAGCGGCGGAAAUCUUGAUGGUCGACGGGCCCCACAGCCCUCCUGGCUUCGCCCGCGGCGGUGGAGCAGGCGAUGGCAGCGACCCUGCUCGAGGCUACGAAGAGUACCAACCCGAGCCACUCGACUCUCUGCAAAGAGAAGAGCUCCGCCGCAGGAACGAGGAUCCCCUGCGUGUUCCCAUCGCAGGAGAAACCCCCGAGGCUCGUGUCUUGGAGGAGGCGCGUCUGGCCAAUUUGGCCGAGCGCACUCGACUGGAGAACCUUCAGCGAGCACUCGACGAACGCGCGCGGCAACGAGUUCCCGACACCAGUCGACGUCAACUCUUCCCGCCGACUCAGGUAUAUCGAACCCCAAUUCAGAAUUUAGCAGCUGCGACCCGUAUAGCAGAGUCCAUUCAGCCUUCGCAGUCAGAGGCUGGCAGAGGUUUGCUGCAGAUCAGGGAUCUGCUCCGGGCAGCAGGAGAUCAGAAUUCGGCCGUGUCUCAGUCGCGCAACAGAAUUCACAGUCGAUCUGUCACUGUGAAUACGGUUCAGUCGGCUCACAGCCCCAGAUCGCCUCCGCGGCGCGAAGGGCGUGAGAAUCGGCGAGAUCAAUAUGGCGACAGACUCGACCGAGAUGGUAGACGUCGAGUGCCCUAUUCCCCUCCGAGGGGUGGGUCUUACGCUCCCCGGCAGCCGGAUGAUAGGCGUCAGUACAGUACAGGGCGUAGGGUUCCAGUUGACCAUAGAGAGCUAGGCUUCGACGCACGAUCCGUUAUCGUGCAAGGGCUGGUCGACCGGAACAGAGCCCAUCGAGGCGCACUCGACAGGGAUGCGCCCACGAGCAGUCGAGUACAUGUUUCUGGUCCUGAAUGUUUUAGCAGAGCUAUCAGAGCCGCAGUUAUCCCCCCCAAUUUCAGGCUGGCAACAGGAGUCAGCAAGUUCACUGGUGAGUCCAAGCCUGAAACUUGGCUUGAAGACUACCGAGUGGCAGUUCAGAUCGGUGGUGGGAACGACGAGGUGGCCAUGAAGCAUUUGCCUCUCAUGUUGGAAGGUUCUGCCAGGGCAUGGUUGACUCAAUUACCUCCUAGCAGCAUUUACACUUGGGAAGAUCUGUCCCGAGUGUUUGUCAGAACGUUUGAAGGGACUUGCAAGCGACCAGCGGGAUUGACAGAGUUGCAAGUCUGCGUGCAGAAAACCAAUGAGACUCUCAGAGAGUAUAUUCAGAGGUGGAUCACUUUGCACCACACUGUGGAAAAUGUCUCUGACCAUCAGGCAGUAUGCGCCUUUAAAGAUGGUGUCAAGAACAGAGAACUGAGUUUGAAAUUUGGUCGAACCGGUGACAUGACCUUGGGUCGGAUGAUGGAGAUUGCUACCAAGUACGCCAACGGCGAAGAAGAAGACCGACUCCGAAGCGGCAAACAUAAGCCGAGUCAGUCGGAAAAAGGAAACACCAGUCGGAAACAGAAGCGGAAGGCUGAACCAGCAGCUCCUGGGGAGGCUCUGGCCGUGACUCAAGGAAAGUCUAAGGGGAAACCAAAAGGAUCCUGGAACCCCAAGAAGGUGAAGGAUAAAGAAGGGAACGACGUGAUGGAUAUGCCGUGCCACAUCCACACGAAGAAAGAUGAAGAGGGGAAUAUCAUUUACCCAAAGCACACCACUCGCCAAUGUCGACUCCUGAUCCAGCAGUUUCAGGGAAAACAGUCUAAGGACAAGGAGAAGGAGCCAGACAAGGCCGAAGACAAAGAGGACAGUGAGGGAGGAUACCCGCAUAUCAACUCCACUUUGAUGAUCUUCGCAGAUGUGGAAAGCAGAAGUCGACUGAAAGUGAUUAACCGAGAGGUUAACAUGGUUGCCCCAGCAAAGGCAAAUUAUCUGAAGUGGUCUCAAACGCCCAUCACAUUCGACCAAUCUGAUCACCCAACUCAUAUUGCCACCCCUGGGAGGCAAGCUUUGGUGGUCGAUCCAGUUGUCGAAGGCACUCGACUGACAAAGGUGCUGAUGGACGGUGGAAGUGGGCUGAAUCUGUUAUAUGCAGACACGUUGAAAGGUAUGGGCAUUCCGAUGUCCAGACUGAGCACUAGUAACAUGAGCUUCCAUGGAGUUAUACCAGGGAAGAAGGCCGAGUCACUCGGCCAGAUAGCUUUGGACGUAGUGUUUGGCGAUUCAAAGCAUUUUCGCAAAGAAAAGUUGACGUUUGAGGUCGUGGAUUUUCAAAGUGCAUAUCAUGCCAUUUUGGGGAGGCCAGCCUAUGCACGGUUCAUGGCUCGACCAUGUUACGUGUACCUCAAAUUGAAGAUGCCCGGUCCCAAAGGUGUGAUCACUGUCACCGGUGAUAGGAAAAAGGCAGAAGAGUGCUUUCAGAAGGGCUCCAAAAUUGCCGAUUCCCAAGUGACAGCGGUCGAGUUCGAAGAAUACAAGCAAAGCGCAGAUCCGAGUGACUUGCUGCGAUCCAAGAAGCCCGCCACAGAAUCUGCAUUCCAGUCGUCCGGUGAGACAAAGCCUGUUCACAUCCACCCGACCGACCCUGAAGCAGCUCCGACCCGCAUCUCCACAACACUCGACCCAAAAUAG